Molecule: ribosomal RNA, 468 nt
Filed under: uncultured bacterium
Lineage: Bacteria
Description: partial 16S ribosomal RNA
Rfam family: Bacterial small subunit ribosomal RNA
Source: RNAcentral
GACGAACGCUGGCGGUGUGCUUAACACAUGCAAGUCGAACGGUAAGGCCCUUUCGGGGGUACACGAGUGGCGAACGGGUGAGUAACACGUGAGUAACCUGCCCUCAUCUCUGGGAUAACAGUCGGAAACGGUUGCUAAUACUGGAUAUGAGCUUGCAAGGCAUCUUGUGGGUUGGAAAGAUUUUUUUUGGUUGGGGAUGGACUCGCGGCCUAUCAGCUUGUUGGUGAGGUAGUGGCUCACCAAGGCUUCGACGGGUAGCCGGCCUGAGAGGGCGACCGGCCACAUUGGGAUGGGGAUACGGCCCAAACUCCUACGGGAGGCAGCAGUGGGGAAUAUUGCACAAUGGACGGAAGUCUGAUGCAGCAACGCCGCGUGCGGGAUGACGGCCUUCGGGUUGUAAACCGCUUUCAAUUGUGACGAAGCUUUUUUGUGACGGUAGCAGUAGAAGAAGCACCGGCUAACUACGUG